This 1946-nucleotide long non-coding RNA is filed under the name Xyrichtys novacula (pearly razorfish). The record is from RNAcentral. Lineage: Eukaryota; Metazoa; Chordata; Actinopteri; Labriformes; Labridae.
GACCUGUAUGGCGUGGCAUGGCGUGUCGUGUCGGCCAUCCAGGUGUAUGUUUCCUCCGCGGCCCACAGGUAACGUGUGCACCGCUGCUUCCUAUACUCAUUCAGUGUGCCUAUGUGCGUAAUGGUGACACGGUCUCCCUCUUGGAUCAGUUUGGGAGGCUGCUGCUGCUGCUAGUCGCGUGGGGCCGGGUUGCCCUGCUGAGAGUUCUGCGGUGCGGAUCUGUGUUGUGCCUUUUGGCGUGUCUGUCAUCGAGGUGCACGUUUAACCCCCGCAACUCACAGGUUAUGUGCACGCUGUUGCUCCUUUCACCCAUUCAAUGUGCCAAUUUGCGUUAUGGUGACACAGUCUUCCUCUCGGUGGUGUUGCUGGUGGCGUGAGGCCGUGUAGCCCUGCUGGAAACCUCUCUGGGUGUCGCUGUGUCUCCAGCCACCCUACACCACUCUGUCUUUAGCCUCCUGUGAAGCUGUGUUGGUCUGAGUGAACUACAUUUAUAGUUUCCUGAACAGCGCUGCUGUUUUGGCUCUGCUUCAGGUUUUUAGGAUUGAGUGUUUUGAUUGUUGACCAGUAGUUUUUAAGAAGGAUCAGUUGAAUAUAAUUUCUUUUGCAAAUUUUGUUGAGUUUGUUUAUAUUAGACAUUUAAUUGUCUUUUCGUCUUUAUUUAGUUUGCUCUUAUUGCUUUAUUGUUGCUGUGUGGGGGUGAAUGUGUGUGUUUGGGUGUGUUUUGUGUUGAACAAAUUAACUGCAUGAAGCUCUGUGGCCUGUUUUUUAAUUUUCCCUGUUCUUUUGGAUAGGUGCUGUGGGCCCAAGGUGGUGACCCAGAACCCUGAUGGUGGGUUUUCCUCACAGAUCCCCAGUGUGUGUGUGCUUGCGGUGUCACGGGUGUUUUAAUUAGUUCUUCCUCCCAUGGCUUUUUGGUUUUCUUGGGCCGCCACGGUAAGCUCCAGCCCAAGGGUUUUAUUUUGUUUGUCCAUUCAGCCAUACUGAUUUGAGUAUUGCAAUUGGUUUGGAUAUUUCUAAAGUUAUUGGUCAUUUUGUUAAAUAAAGACUUUUCAUACAUAUUUUGUUCAAACCGUCUCCUGCCCUGUGGUAAUUUCAAAUCUUGCAUGUCUUCCCAUUACAAUUAUUUAACCAUUUCCUGGGGCGUGAUUCCCAAGGUGGCGUGGAUUGGCACUAUAACUUUUCAACCCUCCACUUGCCACAUUAGCAUGCCAAUAUAUGAAUGUUUUUAUGAUAAUGUCAGCUUCAGUAACAAGGAAAUACUCAAGCAAAGACAUGUUUAGACAGGUUGUUACAGUAAAGCUCCACAUGAAAUACUGACCUUGACUGAUGCUCUAAAAGCUAAAUGUUAACUCAGAACAAAACUGGGACAGGAGUGAUGUUAUAAUCCAGAUCCUAGUUUUAAACUUAAAACAUUUAUAUUUAGGUUUGAAUGAUGAUACAUGUGCAGAGGAUUAAUGUCAGCAUGCCAAAGAACAUUGGAUAGAAGUCACAGCUAUUUUCUCUCCUCAAACUAAAACCUUGUGUUUCAGAGUUACACUGCAGCUGUGGUGUUGUUCCAGGACUGCAGUGUGCUCUUCUUUCACCAACUUUUCAGCAGCUCCAGCACUCGGCAUUCGCCCUAAGGAGAAAAAACUCCUAUACUGCUGCUGACAGUUUAACAGGCAGAUAAUACACAGCCAGGGCCAAGUAAUGACCACCUGAACACGGCGUGCACUCAGGACAGCCUCCAUGGAGGUAUGUCCCUGAUUGUAGCUGCUGUCCUGUAAAGUUUGGACUUGUGUGCAGUUCUUGUACUGGAAUAAAAACAGUCUAGAGUUACACUGUCGUACAAACCGGAUAAUAAAGCAGAACAUUUUACUCUUAAUGGUUCUGAUGAAAUACAGGGAGCUUGUAACCCUCUUCUGUAAAAGUCUACCCCUGUAUAAACCAGUAUGAACCCUAUCAAA